UACGUAGGGGCCAAGCGUUGUCCGGAUUUAUUGGGCGUAAAGAGCUCGUAGGCGGUUCGGCAAGUCGACGGCGAAAUCUCCACGCUCAACGUGGAGGCGCCCGUCGAUACUGCUGUGACUCGAGUCCGGUAGGGGAGUGUGGAAUUCCCGGUGUAGCGGUGAAAUGCGCAGAUAUCAGGAAGAACACCCGUGGCGAAAGCGGCUCUCUGGAACGGUACUGACGCUGAGACGCGAAAGCGUGGGGAGCGAACAGG
RNAcentral lists this ribosomal RNA (254 nucleotides) under uncultured bacterium. RNAcentral describes it as "partial 16S ribosomal RNA". It matches the Rfam family "Bacterial small subunit ribosomal RNA", at positions 524 to 776 of the family's 1533-position model. The record is from RNAcentral.